GAAAAAGAAAAUGGAAAUUAAGUGUAAAUAUAAAUAUAUAUAUUUAUAUAUUAAAUAGUUUUAUUAAAUUAAUUAAAGAAAAGAAAGAAAAGAAAGGACAAAAAGAAGAAAAGGAGAAGAAAAUUUCAUUUUCUCUUUUCUUCUUCUUCUUCUCUUCCCUUCACCGCCAAGUUUGAAGACAUCCAAGUUCCCUUUAUUUUUUUAUCUUUUUCCUUCUUCAAUUUGCAGAGAACUUCUAAGAGAGAGUUUGGAAGAAGAAGAGAAAUUUUACUAGAAUUUUUAGGUUGAAGAAGAGGAGGAGAACUCAAGCAAAGUGUAUUAAUAGCUGAAUUUUAGUUCAUUCUGCACAUCACUGGUUUUUAAUUCGGUUUGAACUCUUCAAAAGGAAUUAAGAGGGCAGUUGGUUUUCACUCGAAAUCAGGAGGUCUCUGGUUUUUCUUGUAUUUCAGAGUGUAUUGGUGGAGUUCGAAUCUCUAUUUGGAACAAGUUAAAGAGGUCGUGUGCGCGCGAUUCUGGAAGUGGUUCUGUUUUGAGGGUUAUAUGUGUUUAUGCACGGGGAAUCAGAUUUAUAGAACACUCAUUUUGGUUUGAUAUAAUGAAGAGUUUGAUAUAAAGAACACUCAUUUUGGUUAAGUAUUGAGAAAGUUAUAGUCCUUUGAAGUUUAUGUUAGAAAUCUGGAAAUUUUAGAGAAUUGUUGAAAUAGGAUUUUAUUUCUUAAGCUUUGUUUUCGUGAGCGUCAUCUUUGGUGCGACAUGUUAUGUAUAUCUUUAGGAAACCAGAAUGUUUAGGGUUUUAAUACUCGGUUGGGUUGUUGGCAGGCCGAGAAGAAUUAAACCGAGCUUAUAGACCAAGGAUCUAGCCCAAGACUGUGAGUGACAAAACCAACUUUGAAAUACUUUCCAUAACUGUUAUUAUGAUUGAAUGCGAUAAAUGUUUAUUUACGAAGCCAUGAAAGGUAUUUGAAUUUCAUGACUAUUUUCAUCUAUACAUUUGGAGACUAGAUUUCUUAAAGAAAUUUAUGCUAGCACGUAGAUAUUAAAUGUUUGGAAAGUAUUUAAACCACAAUAUUUUAAGCAAAGCAUGAAUUAGUAUGAAGUUUUGUUUUAAGAACUACAACUUUCCACGAAAGAGCUGAGUAAAGUUCGAGCUUUGUGUAAAAUUUAUAAGCAGGCAUGUUUUAAUAUUUUAUGAUGAUUUAUGAAAUUUUCAUUAACUACAUGACUGAGAUCUUGAUCCUGAGGCUAGAGAUUACCGUGUGCACACUGGUUAGAUUUCGUUGUUGACGUUGAGUGUACUCCGCAACAACGAUGCUGUCGUGAGUGCUGGGUGGGCCCCACUACGACAAAGACGAUGGGAGUGCUGGGCGGGCCCCACUACAUCGUAGUGCUUGUAAACGUUGUUGUACUAGGUGUACCCUACACAACGUAGAUUCGUCAUGUUAGUUAAAAUGCUUCGAUAUACUUGAUAUGCCUUGCUAGAUUUCAAUGAUGAACAUGCUGUGUAUUUAAGGAAGCUAUUCUUACUACUACACAUUUACAUUUGCGACUUGUAUAAACAGAUUUAUAUGUGUAAAGUUUUCACGUGCUCUUAUUUUUAAAUUCAUA
Cucumis melo (muskmelon) is the source of this 1605-nucleotide long non-coding RNA. RefSeq lists it as uncharacterized. The record is from RefSeq and is a predicted model, not a curated record. The transcript has 3 exons. NCBI's taxonomy places the organism in Eukaryota, Viridiplantae, Streptophyta, Magnoliopsida, Cucurbitales, Cucurbitaceae.